GGAUAGCUCAGUCAGUAGAGCACGAGACUCUUAAUCCCAGAGUCAUGGGUUCAAGCCCCACAUUGGCCA
Molecule: non-coding RNA, 69 nt
Organism: Podarcis lilfordi (Lilford's wall lizard)
Lineage: Eukaryota; Metazoa; Chordata; Lepidosauria; Squamata; Lacertidae
Source: the annotation of a GenBank genome assembly